GACGACGCUGGCGGCGUGCCUAAUACAUGCAAGUCGAGCGGGGAUUAUGCUUGAUCGCUUCGGUGAGACGGCAUAUAUCCUAGCGGCGGACGGGUGAGUAACGCGUGGGUAAUCUACCUCGUAGUUCGGGAUAACAGGCCGAAAGGCUUGCUAAUACCGGAUGAGUUCAUGCUUAUGCAUAUAGGCAUGAAGAAAGGGCUAGCCCGCUAUGAGAUGAGCCCGCGUCCCAUUAGCUUGUUGGUGGGGUAAUGGCCUACCAAGGCAACGAUGGGUAGCCGACCUGAGAGGGUGUACGGCCACACUGGGACUGAGACACGGCCCAGACUCCUACGGGGGGCAGCAGUAGGGAAUUUUCGGCAAUGGGCGAAAGCCUGACCGAGCGACGCCGCGUGAGGGACGAAGGCCUUCGGGUUGUAAACCUCUGUCUGGGGGGAUGAGAACGGACGGUACCCCCGGAGGAAGCCCCGGCUAACUACGUG
Molecule: ribosomal RNA, 479 nt
Filed under: uncultured bacterium
Lineage: Bacteria
Description: bacterial SSU rRNA
Rfam family: Bacterial small subunit ribosomal RNA
Source: RNAcentral